AUUCCUUCCCAAGUCAGCCCCUUCCUUUGCACUGUCUCUCCGUCCUAAGAAUUCUCGUGUAUUCCUUCUUUCUGGUGUGCUAGAAGUCUCCUGCAGGAAUGUUGGAAAAUCAGCUGGAAGCUGACGUUGCUGGUCGCUGGCAUACAUGCUAUUGUACCAACUACCGAAGAGACAUAUUACCAGAUAAGAAACACCCCAGGAAUCCUACAUUCAGUAGUGCAAGUUUUAACAGCAAUCAGCUACAAAUUUGCUUGAUUAAGGCUAAAUUCACAACUGUAAGACCUAAUUCUCAAAUGUGAUGUCCUUCAACCUCUCACCUUAGACAAGCUCCACUAAAUUCCUCCUUACAUUGAAUCUGCUGGUAGCACAAGCCCUGCCAUCCUGCCAGCCUUGUGCUGUACAACUUCCUCGGUGCUGCCUCCUCCACCUAUUUCAGGCUGUCAAAAGAGAAGAUUUUAUUACAACAAUGCAACUAAUGAUUUUCCAUCUCUGCUGAAAUCUGUCAGAACUUUCUUCAGGAUGAAAUGCAAAAUGCCUUACAUAGCAUACUGUUGCUUAAGGUCAGGAUGACAUAGCUCUUAACUCAUAUUCUAGCCCUUUUCUUGACACUUCUCUGACUCACUAAAUAAUCACCACGACCACCACACGCAUACACAAACACACACGCAAAUACUUAAUUUCCAAAUAAAUACCUUUUUUCAAGUCUUUAUAGCUCUGGUUUGACUGAAAUGCCUUAUCCUGCUUUCCCAUCUGGCAAAUUACUCUUCAGUAUUUAUCUGAGGCAUCACCUUUUGGGGAGGCCUCCAGGGGCCCUGUCCUUUGACAGAGGUACUCUUUCUGGGUUCAGUCCUCUGGUGGCAGGCCAGAACUCCACAAGCAGCUAAGUCUGCAUUAUCCCUUUGCUGUAAUAAUGAAUGUAUAAGAUAAAUAUUAAAGAGCUGGAGAAAUUGGUGCCUGAGUACAAGGGCUGGAAUGCAAAAAAAAAAAAAAAAAAAAAAUUAAAACCACACCUGGACUUUCUCAACCUCUUUAAUCCAGUCCAAGAACAAAUCUAAAAAACCUUCCUACAUGAGGACCUUUAGUUAAGAUUAGAUUGAUUAAGAAACACUCUGUGAGAGGCCAAUAAGGGUGAAUCGCCUGAGGUCAGGAGUUCGAGACCUGCCUGGCCAACAUGGUGAAAGCCCAUUUCUGCUAAAAAUACAAUAAUUAGCCAGGCGUGGUGGCACAUGCCUGUAAUCCCAGUUACUUGGGAGGCUGAGUCAAGAGAAUCCCUUGAACCUGGGAGGU
Molecule: long non-coding RNA, 1287 nt
Filed under: Macaca mulatta (Rhesus monkey)
Lineage: Eukaryota; Metazoa; Chordata; Mammalia; Primates; Cercopithecidae
Description: lncRNA (ENSMMUG00000058125.1)
Source: RNAcentral